Molecule: long non-coding RNA, 739 nt
Filed under: Homo sapiens (human)
Lineage: Eukaryota; Metazoa; Chordata; Mammalia; Primates; Hominidae
Description: HSALNT0126783
Source: RNAcentral
UUGUAAUGUGCCUGUAAGUGAGGGAAGGAAGUUUGAAUUUUACAAGUAUGUGACCAGAGAGACAAUCAUUUACAAAAGGCAACCAGGAGGAACUCCCUUCAUCCACAAGCUUGUUAACACCAGCCCUUGGCCCCCAGUGGCCCCUCCUCUUGUGCAGAUCUGUACAGAUGUGGUUUUGUCUACAGGCAGAGCUCCCUCAUCCACAAGGAUAGGGCCCCACCCCACAUACCAGUGGCCACUUCCCACUUGUGAGUGAGGUCUAGUGCAGAAGCUUCCCAGGAACGAAGAAGCCUUGAAAGAAAGGGAGCCAGAGCAGAGACCCCGACAGGAUUCCCACUCCCGCUGCCAGCAAGUCCCUGACACCUCCAUUCUUUGCGUCUAAAGUCCCCUAGAAACAAGUCACCUGAUUCUACUAAGCCACCUGCCUCAUCCCACUGAAAACCUUUCCGGAAAGAUGGGCCAGACAUGCUCUCUGAUGGCCAUUCGUCUUCUGAAUCCCAAGAAUAAUCCUUUGGCACAAACAUAGAAGUGUAUUAUUUGGUCUUCCAGCAAACAUGAAGAGAAACAAUGAAAUGAAGGAAAUGCACAUCACGAGCUGCCACACAAGAUCCUAAUUACCAUAAUUUGACCCAUCCUCCUUCCCAUUGCCGGAAAGUCAGCCUUCUGGAUGAGAGGAAGCCAAACCAGCAAGAUAACAGGCUUCUGUUCUCUCUCCCCGUCCCUCGCCUCUUUCUUUCUU